Molecule: small nuclear RNA, 163 nt
Organism: Trichechus manatus latirostris (Florida manatee)
Lineage: Eukaryota; Metazoa; Chordata; Mammalia; Sirenia; Trichechidae
Product: U1 spliceosomal RNA
Exons: 1
Source: RefSeq, a predicted model, not a curated record
GUGUUUAUUUUGCAGAGGGGAGUUUUUGUGGUCACAAAGGUCGUUUUUCUUAGAGUUAGGUUUGUUUGUUGUAUUUGGGAGGUACUGAUCUGCAAUUUCCAUAAAUGAGGGAAAACCUGGCUGCAGAAUUUGUGGUAGUGGGGGCCUGCCUAAAAGACUCUUU